GUGACCUCAGAUCAGGCGAGACCACCCGCUGAGUUUAAGCAUAUCACUAAGCGGAGGAAAAGAAACUAACAAGGAUUCCCU
Molecule: ribosomal RNA, 81 nt
Filed under: Riccia billardierei
Lineage: Eukaryota; Viridiplantae; Streptophyta; Marchantiopsida; Marchantiales; Ricciaceae
Description: partial 26S large subunit ribosomal RNA
Rfam family: Eukaryotic large subunit ribosomal RNA
Source: RNAcentral